CGGCAAUAGCUCAAGUUUAGAAUCUGUGGCCGUCUCGGUCACCGAAUUGUAAUCUAAAGGGGUAAACAAAAGGGGAAAUUGAGGUAUAAGUUCCUUGGAACAGGACAUCAUAGAGGGUGAAAAUCCCGUAUGUAACCUCCGUUGAACCGAAUGUUUUCCUUCUAA
This 165-nucleotide ribosomal RNA is filed under the name Saccharomycetales sp. Its description in RNAcentral is "partial large subunit ribosomal RNA". It matches the Rfam family "Eukaryotic large subunit ribosomal RNA", at positions 99 to 261 of the family's 3401-position model. The record is from RNAcentral. Lineage: Eukaryota; Fungi; Ascomycota; Saccharomycetes; Saccharomycetales.